Molecule: ribosomal RNA, 382 nt
Filed under: uncultured bacterium
Lineage: Bacteria
Description: bacterial SSU rRNA
Rfam family: Bacterial small subunit ribosomal RNA
Source: RNAcentral
AUUGAACGCUGGCGGAAUGCUUUACACAUGCAAGUCGAACGGUAGAGGGGGCAACCCCUUGAGAGUGGCGAACGGGUGAGUAAUAUAUCGGAACGUGCCCAGUCGUGGGGAUAACGUAGCGAAAGUUACGCUAAUACCGCAUACGAUCUAAGGAUGAAAGCGGGGGAUCGCAAGACCUCGCGCGAUUGGAGCGGCCGAUAUCAGAUUAGGUAGUUGGUGAGGUAAAGGCUCACCAAGCCAACGAUCUGUAGCUGGUCUGAGAGGACGACCAGCCACACUGGAACUGAGACACGGUCCAGACUCCUACGGGAGGCAGCAGUGGGGAAUUUUGGACAAUGGACGCAAGUCUGAUCCAGCCAUUCCGCGUGCAGGAUGAAGGCCU